GUGUUGUAUGAAUGGAGAAAAGGUUAGCACUCCCUUGACGAGGAUGGAAGAGGCGCUCUGGUCUGUACAGCACACACACGGUUAAAGCAUUGCCACCUACUUUGUGGCAUCUGACCAUUGUUUUUG
RNAcentral lists this non-coding RNA (126 nucleotides) under Dasypus novemcinctus (nine-banded armadillo). The record is from RNAcentral. Lineage: Eukaryota; Metazoa; Chordata; Mammalia; Cingulata; Dasypodidae.